This 66-nucleotide transfer RNA is filed under the name Cotylurus marcogliesei. Its description in RNAcentral is "tRNA-Tyr". The record is from RNAcentral. Lineage: Eukaryota; Metazoa; Platyhelminthes; Trematoda; Diplostomida; Strigeidae.
AUUAACUUAGUAUAAAAUAAAGUACGUGAGAUUGUAGAUCUCUAGGUAAGUAAAUCUUAGUUAAGA